This is a long non-coding RNA of Papaver somniferum (opium poppy), 1860 nucleotides long. RefSeq lists it as uncharacterized. The record is from RefSeq and is a predicted model, not a curated record. NCBI's taxonomy places the organism in Eukaryota, Viridiplantae, Streptophyta, Magnoliopsida, Ranunculales, Papaveraceae. The transcript is spliced from 3 exons.
UUUCUUUCCUUCUUUCUCUAUCAUUUUUCAUUCUUCUUCUCCCUGUUUCUCUUCUCUUUUCUUCUUCUGUUCUUCGCCUCUGGCGAUUCUGCGAGAUUUUUGAGGCUGUGAUAUCGAAGAUAAACUUAGGGGAAAUCUUAAGAACUGACUAUUGGUGAUGGUGAUGAUGUUUGUUAUUGAUUUAGUCUCAAAGAAGGAAUUAAAUUAAGAAGUUAGGGUUUCUGUAUUCACCGAAAAUAUGAUUGGAGUUGAUUAAGAAGAAAUUACAGGAUGGGUGUUGUAGAACGUGAUGAAAAGAAGAUUGUUAUAGUUUAAAUUUGGGGAUUUGGUUAAAGGGAAGAGGAUUUAUUAUGAAAGAUGAAUUGAAUUAGGGUUCUUGAGUUGAUUGAGGGAUUGUGUGAAAUUGAAGAUGAAAUUGAAGAUGAAAUUGAAGGUCCAGAAGUCUAAUUGAAGAUGGGUUUGUUCUUAUUUGAUGUUUGAUUGAAGUUGUUGGACUAUUUGAGGAUUAUUUAGGGUUUCUUUGUAAAUCAGUGGUGGUGGUAGAUUGAAAUGAUCUGCUGAACCGAGUCAGGAGCAAAGAAGGAUUCGAUUCAAUUGUGGAGUGAAACCUAUCAUGAGGUAAAUGAUUUCUCAGUAAAUUAGUAAAGUUAUUAUGUUUUGUUUGGGUUGAAAUGUUUGGAGUUAGAACUGUAAUUGUUGGUGUUCUAAUGGUGAAUAAUCUGAACUGAAGUUGAUAUGGGUAUGGAUUUGGAGGUAAACUGGUGGUAUUAAUGUAUGAAAUGUGAAUAGGAAGUUAAAUCUGAAUUGAGAAUUGGUUGAGUUGUAGUGGCUGAGUUAUGGAAAUUACAGGGUUGAGUUAAAAAAGGGUGUUGGUGAUAUGAAUUUUGGAUUGUAAUGAAGAGGUUAAUGGUUGUUGUGUAUAUUGGUGGGUUAAAUGAGUUGUGAUGCAAGCUGAGAUGGUAUUGAAUCAUGAAAUACUGUAGCAGGUGGUUGUAAUUGAGUGCAUUGGUGGUUGUCUAGUGAAUUGUAUCUGGGUCUUCUCAGACUUGCAGGGGUGUUAGAUGAAUGAAUUAGGAAUUGGAGAAUGUUGAGUGGAUAUAACAUCCAUGAAGUGAACUGCGUCAGAAGAAUUAAAUGUAAAGUAAGAGGUGUUGUUGCUGUUAAGAUGGAGAUACAGUUGAUGGUUCUGUACGAUGAAUGGUAUUACGGGUUAUAGGAUUUGGAUUUUGUGUAUGCUAGCUGAACAGAUUUAGAAUGGGUGAGAGAUUGUAGUUAUUGCAGAUGUAACUUGUGGGUGUAAUGAGAUUGUUUGACGUUCCAGUUUAGAGUCUGAGUGGAAGGUGUUAACUGAUGCAGUUAGAAUUGAGGAUUGAAGUUUAGAGAAAUAUGUUAAGUCGAAUCUUUGUAGUGAAAGCUUGGAACUGCAUUUGCAGGAUGAACCAGUGGAUCGUGGAUCUGGAGGUAGGCGUGGGUUGUCAUCAAAAGAGGUGCGGCACGAGUCACCAUAUAGCUAUCUAGGUGCGGAACGAUCGGAAGAGUCACCAUAAUAUAUAUUGUUUGGAAGGAGUUUGUCCAUAUACGUGUUUGUGCAUUUCCAGUGACUUAGUCACUUUGAUGUUUGGGAAAACAUGUAUUUUUUUCUAAAUCUUGCCCAUGAUUUCUUUAAAGUUAAAUGUUAUUCCUGCUGGGCACCCCUUUUAGGGAUGAUGUGCUCACCCAUUCCCACUUUUAGUUCCAGAGACUGAUCAGAAUUGCGCAGCGAAAGCUUCGAGGAGUUGAUUUCAUUAGUUGGUUAACUUCGUCUAUGUUUAUUAUGUUGUAUAUUAUAUUUGUUAACCGAAUGACUAUUGUAUAUAUGUA